This 432-nucleotide ribosomal RNA is filed under the name uncultured bacterium. RNAcentral describes it as "bacterial SSU rRNA". It matches the Rfam family "Bacterial small subunit ribosomal RNA", at positions 917 to 1344 of the family's 1533-position model. The record is from RNAcentral.
GGGCUCACACAAGCGGUGGAGCAUGUGGCUUAAUUCGAAGCAACGCGAAGAACCUUAUCCUGGGUUUGACAUGUAUGGAUUAACCCUAUGAAAGUAGGGCUACGCCUUCGGGUGGAACAUACACAGGUGCUGCAUGGCUGUCGUCAGCUCGUGCUGUGAAGUGUCGGGUUAAGUCCCUUAACGAGCGCAACCCCUGUCGCUAGUUGCUAACACGUAAUGGUGAGGACUCUAGCGAGACUGCCGGUGUUAAACCGGACGAAGGUGGGGAUGACGUCAAGUCCGCAUGGCCUUUAUGCCCAGGGCUGCACACGUGCUACAAUGGCAGGUACAGAACGAUGCAAUACCGCGAGGUGGAGCAAAUCGCAAAAGCCUGCCCCAGUUCGGAUAGGAGGCUGCAAUUCGCCUCCUUGAAGUCGGAAUCGCUAGUAAUCG